UAGAGAGAGAAAGAGAGAGAGAGAGAGAGAUCCA
RNAcentral lists this small RNA (34 nucleotides) under Arabidopsis thaliana (thale cress). RNAcentral's name for it is "ATSL018430". Lineage: Eukaryota; Viridiplantae; Streptophyta; Magnoliopsida; Brassicales; Brassicaceae. The record is from RNAcentral.